GGAGAGAUGACCGAGUGGCCGAAGGUGCAUGAUUGGAAAUUAUGUGAACGGGUAACCGUUCCGAGGGUUCGAAUCCCUCUCUCUCCGCCA
Molecule: transfer RNA, 90 nt
Filed under: Desulfonispora thiosulfatigenes DSM 11270
Lineage: Bacteria; Bacillati; Bacillota; Clostridia; Eubacteriales; Peptococcaceae
Description: tRNA_Ser
Rfam family: tRNA
About the family: Transfer RNA (tRNA) molecules are approximately 80 nucleotides in length. Their secondary structure includes four short double-helical elements and three loops (D, anti-codon, and T loops). Further hydrogen bonds mediate the characteristic L-shaped molecular structure. tRNAs have two regions of fundamental functional importance: the anti-codon, which is responsible for specific mRNA codon recognition, and the 3' end, to which the tRNAs corresponding amino acid is attached (by aminoacyl-tRNA synthetases). tRNAs cope with the degeneracy of the genetic code in two manners: having more than one tRNA (with a specific anti-codon) for a particular amino acid; and 'wobble' base-pairing, i.e. permitting non-standard base-pairing at the 3rd anti-codon position.
Source: RNAcentral